This 753-nucleotide ribosomal RNA is filed under the name uncultured bacterium. RNAcentral describes it as "bacterial SSU rRNA". It matches the Rfam family "Bacterial small subunit ribosomal RNA", at positions 57 to 840 of the family's 1533-position model. The record is from RNAcentral.
GCAGUCGAGCGAUUCUCUUCGGAGAAGAGCGGCGGACGGGUGAGUAACGCGUGGGUAACCUGCCCUAUACACACGGAUAACAUACCGAAAGGUAUGCUAAUACGAGAUAACAUAAGAGAUUCGCAUGGAUUUCUUAUCAAAGCUUUUGCGGUAUAGGAUGGACCCGCGUCUGAUUAGCUAGUUGGUAAGGUAACGGCUUACCAAGGCGACGAUCAGUAGCCGACCUGAGAGGGUGAUCGGCCACAUUGGAACUGAGACACGGUCCAAACUCCUACGGGAGGCAGCAGUGGGGAAUAUUGCACAAUGGGCGAAAGCCUGAUGCAGCAACGCCGCGUGAGCGAUGAAGGCCUUCGGGUCGUAAAGCUCUGUCCUCAAGGAAGAUAAUGACGGUACUUGAGGAGGAAGCCCCGGCUAACUACGUGCCAGCAGCCGCGGUAAUACGUAGGGGGCUAGCGUUAUCCGGAAUUACUGGGCGUAAAGGGUGCGUAGGUGGUUUCUUAGGUCAGAGGUGAAAGGCUACGGCUCAACCGUAGUAAGCCUUUGAAACUGAGAAACUUGAGUGCAAGAGAGGAGAGUAGAAUUCCUAGUGUAGCGGUGAAAUGCGUAGAUAUUAGGAGGAAUACCAGUUGCGAAGGCGGCUCUCUGGACUGUAACUGACACUGAGGCACGAAAGCGUGGGGAGCAAACAGGAUUAGAUACCCUGGUAGUCCACGCCGUAAACGAUGAGUACUAGCUGUCGGAGGUUACCCCCUU